This 75-nucleotide transfer RNA is filed under the name Bacillota bacterium. RNAcentral describes it as "tRNA-Thr". It matches the Rfam family "tRNA". From Rfam's summary of the family: Transfer RNA (tRNA) molecules are approximately 80 nucleotides in length. Their secondary structure includes four short double-helical elements and three loops (D, anti-codon, and T loops). The record is from RNAcentral. Lineage: Bacteria; Bacillati; Bacillota. RNAcentral also lists the same sequence under 2 other names.
GCUGGCGUAGCUCAGAGGUAGAGCAGGGUCCUCGUAAGACUCAGGCCGCGGGUUCAAUUCCCGCCGCCAGCUCCA